RNAcentral lists this ribosomal RNA (257 nucleotides) under Piroplasmida sp. RNAcentral's name for it is "partial small subunit ribosomal RNA". It matches the Rfam family "Eukaryotic small subunit ribosomal RNA", at positions 618 to 894 of the family's 1831-position model. The record is from RNAcentral. Lineage: Eukaryota; Apicomplexa; Aconoidasida; Piroplasmida.
GUUAAAAAGCUCGUAGUUGAAUUUCUGCCCCGUAGUUUUCGUCCGCUUCGGCGGUUUACGUUUACUUCGCGGCUUUUUCUGGUUAUUUUAGGCCCCGGUCUAUUUUAUCCAGUUAAUUACUUUGAGAAAAUUAGAGUGCUUCAAGCAGGCUUUUGCCUUGAAUACUUCAGCAUGGAAUAAUAAAGUAGGACUUUGGUUCUAUUUUGUUGGUUUCGUGAACCAAAGUAAUGGUUAAUAGGAACAGUUGGGGGCAUUCG